This 431-nucleotide ribosomal RNA is filed under the name uncultured Paracoccaceae bacterium. RNAcentral describes it as "bacterial SSU rRNA". It matches the Rfam family "Bacterial small subunit ribosomal RNA", at positions 29 to 505 of the family's 1533-position model. The record is from RNAcentral. Lineage: Bacteria; Pseudomonadati; Pseudomonadota; Alphaproteobacteria; Rhodobacterales; Paracoccaceae.
AACGAACGCUGGCGGCAGGCCUAACACAUGCAAGUCGAGCGCGCCUUUCGGGGUGAGCGGCGGACGGGUUAGUAACGCGUGGGAACGUACCCUUUUCUGCGGAAUAGCCUCUGGAAACGGAGAGUAAUACCGCAUACGCCCUUUGGGGGAAAGAUUUAUCGGAGAAGGAUCGGCCCGCGUUAGAUUAGAUAGUUGGUGGGGUAACGGCUUACCAAGUCUACGAUCUAUAGCUGGUUUUAGAGGAUGAUCAGCAACACUGGGACUGAGACACGGCCCAGACUCCUACGGGAGGCAGCAGUGGGGAAUCUUGGACAAUGGGCGCAAGCCUGAUCCAGCCAUGCCGCGUGAGUGAAGAAGGCCUUAGGGUCGUAAAGCUCUUUCGCCUGUGAUGAUAAUGACAGUAGCAGGUAAAGAAACCCCGGCUAACUCCG